AACGAACGCUGGCGGCAUGCCUAACACAUGCAAGUCGAACGAGACCUUCGGGUCUAGUGGCGCACGGGUGCGUAACGCGUGGGAACCUGCCCUUAGGUUCGGAAUAACUCUCCGAAAGGGGUGCUAAUACCGGAUAAUGUCUUCGGACCAAAGAUUUAUCGCCCUUGGAUGGGCCCGCGUUGGAUUAGCUAGUUGGUAGGGUAAAAGCCUACCAAGGCGACGAUCCAUAGCUGGUCUGAGAGGAUGAUCAGCCACACUGGGACUGAGACACGGCCCAGACUCCUACGGGAGGCAGCAGUGGGGAAUAUUGGAAAAUGGGCGAAAGCCUGAUCCAGCAAUGCCGCGUGAGUGAUGAAGGCAUUAGGGUUGUAAAGCUCUUUUACCCGGGAUGAUAAUGACAGUACCGGGAGAAUAAGCGCCGGCUAACUCCGUG
RNAcentral lists this ribosomal RNA (433 nucleotides) under uncultured bacterium. RNAcentral describes it as "partial 16S ribosomal RNA". It matches the Rfam family "Bacterial small subunit ribosomal RNA", at positions 29 to 507 of the family's 1533-position model. The record is from RNAcentral.